RNAcentral lists this ribosomal RNA (330 nucleotides) under uncultured eukaryote. RNAcentral's name for it is "partial 18S ribosomal RNA". It matches the Rfam family "Eukaryotic small subunit ribosomal RNA", at positions 1470 to 1796 of the family's 1831-position model. The record is from RNAcentral.
CCCUUAGAUGUUCUGGGCCGCACGCGUGCUACACUGAUGCAUUCAACGAGUCUAAAACCUGGUCUGAUAGGGCUGGGUAAUCUUUUGAAAGUGCAUCGUGAUUGGGAUAGAUGAUUGCAAUUCUUCAUCUUCAACGAGGAAUGCCUAGUAAACGCAAGUCAUCGGCUUGCAUUGAUUACGUCCCUGCCCUUUGUACACACCGCCCGUCGCUCCUACCGAUUGAAUGAUCCGAUGAAUACCAUGGAUUGAGAGUACGAAUAGGUUCGCUUAUUUCUGCUGCUCGAGAAGUGGAGUAAAUCUUAUCAUUUAGAGGAAGGAGAAGUCGUAACA